This 349-nucleotide transfer-messenger RNA is filed under the name human gut metagenome. It matches the Rfam family "transfer-messenger RNA". Rfam says of the family: Bacterial tmRNA, also known as 10Sa RNA or SsrA, is named for its dual tRNA and mRNA-like properties. Its role is to liberate the mRNA from a stalled ribosome. The record is from RNAcentral.
GGGGGUGUACUGGUUUCGACGGGGGUAUGGAAGGCAGAAUAAGCGAGCGGCGGCCCUGAACCGCCCAACAACGGGAAAUUAAAAUUAACUGACAACUACGAUAACGUAGCUUUCGCGGCCUAAGCCCGCGAACGUCGGCCCUAAGCCUCCUGCGGCGUAGGUCACCGGCGCUGCAAAAGCAGGGAACCAACCGGUCAAAGCUUUGAGAUCGGCGGGAUUUUAUGAAGCUACCAAUGCCGUAACGCCGUCCAUGGCGGUUCGGCGGAGGGAAUUUUAAAACGUGGACUGCGCUCGGAGAAGCUUCUGUCGUCUGACUUUCGGACUGGGGUUCGACUCCCCACACCUCCAC